CAAUUCUGUUGAUUGGAUAUUGAACUAUUGCCUAAUGUCAGAGACAAACGACGUCACAGGAGCGAAGACACUCAUUGGUUGAAAAACAUGUACAUAUUGCGUGUACGGUGACAUCUUUUCGAAAUCUGUCUUUCGGCAGUGCGAUUGAACUAGGUUGAGGAAUAAAACUACUAUACGCGUCAUUCAUUACUAUUUCGAAGUACAUUUGAAGAUUUACAAGGACGUGCGGCUACCGACAGCAUGAUAAUAGAUCAACUUCGUCAAACAUCCCGCUAUUCCAGCUGCAACAGACUUCUCUGCGUUCUCAACUGAUUCCUGCUUCUCUUUGUCCUGACGCCAUCGGUAAUAAUCGUAUGGCGUGGCGCAUGGUCGGUUUUCGACAACUAUCUGUUUCCCGACAGUGCUUUGGUCAGCGGACUUGUAUCUAUCGGAAUCGGCUACAUAUUCAU
This is a long non-coding RNA of Xenia sp. Carnegie-2017, 449 nucleotides long. RefSeq lists it as uncharacterized. The transcript has 3 exons. Lineage: Eukaryota; Metazoa; Cnidaria; Anthozoa; Malacalcyonacea; Xeniidae. The record is from RefSeq and is a predicted model, not a curated record.